AACGAACGCUGGCGGCAGGCCUAACACAUGCAAGUUGAACGUGAAGCAUUCUUCGGAAUGUGGAAAGUAGCGCACGGGUGAGUAACACGUGGGGAUAUACACUUCGGUACGGAACAACAGUUGGAAACGACUGCUAAUACCGUAUAAUGACUCCGGUCCAAAGAUUUAUCGCCGAGGGAUUAGCCCGCGUCUGAUUAGCUUGUUGGUGAGGUAAUGGCUCACCAAGGCAACGAUCAGUAGCUGGUUUGAGAGGAUGAUCAGCCACACUGGGACUGAGACACGGCCCAGACUCCUACGGGAGGCAGCAGUGAGGAAUAUUGGACAAUGGGCGAAAGCCUGAUCCAGCCAUGCCGCGUGAGUGAAGAAGGCCCUAGGGUUGUAAAGCUCUUUCAAUUGUGAAGAUAAUGACGGUAGCAAUAGAAGAAGCUCCGGCUAACUCCGUGCCAGCCGCCGCGGUAAG
Molecule: ribosomal RNA, 460 nt
Filed under: uncultured Alphaproteobacteria bacterium
Lineage: Bacteria; Pseudomonadati; Pseudomonadota; Alphaproteobacteria
Description: bacterial SSU rRNA
Rfam family: Bacterial small subunit ribosomal RNA
Source: RNAcentral